This 7133-nucleotide long non-coding RNA is filed under the name Gossypium barbadense (sea-island cotton). RNAcentral's name for it is "long non-coding RNA (GBAR_LNC011005)". The record is from RNAcentral. Lineage: Eukaryota; Viridiplantae; Streptophyta; Magnoliopsida; Malvales; Malvaceae.
CUCCGAUGCGGAAAAAGCUGUCGUCUCCGAUGGAUGAAUUAUCUCCGACCUUCUGUUAAACGUGGCCAGAUUGCUCCCGAUGAAGAAGAUCUCAUCCUCCGCCUUCACCGCCUUUUAGGGAAUCGGUAACUUUUUCCUCUCUUUUUUUCUAUGAAUUUCAUUUUAGGGUUUUGGAUUAGAUAUCUGGAUAUCUCAAGAUAAACUGUCUAACUUAAUUCGACUUCAAAUCUAAUUAGAUUCAAUGCAGAAACCUCGAAUCUUAUACAAAAAAGUUGUAGGUCUAGGGUUUCAGUGUUUUAGGGUUCUAAAUGGAUUCAUUUUGUAAUCAUUUUUUGCAUACGGUUUCUAUAUAUAUAUACAUGUAUGCGUGUGUACGUAUAUGCAACAUGAAUGAAUGAAUUUGCUGGGUUUGUUAUGUAGGUGGUCACUAAUAGCUGGAAGAAUACCAGGGCGUACAGAUAACGAAAUAAAGAACUACUGGAAUACUCACCUGAGUAAGAAAUUGAUAAGUCAAGGGAUCGAUCCUCGAACGCACAAGCCUUUAAACCCUCAACAACUCUCACCAUCACCACCAUCACUCAAACCUUCACCUUCUUCAUCAUCAUCCAUGGCGAAACCAAACAAUCCUCCUUCCCCUCUUCCUGUUCAUGUCGUCAACGCUAACAAGCAAAAUGAUUAUGACGAUGGGAGCAAUGAAGACCAUCAAGGGAUGAUCAUGAACAAUGACCAUUAUCAGCAACAACAAGAUCAUGAUGAUGAUGUGUUCUCUUCUUUUCUGAAUUCAUUGAUAAAUGAAGAUGAUGAUGCAUUGGUUUCGAAUUUGGGACUCUCACAAGGAUGGGAAUCUACUCCCUUCGAUCAACCAAAAUGACCCAAUAGAGGGUUUGAUGAUGAAUGUUAUUUAUAUAGUUUUUUUUCAAAGUGUGUUGAUUGUAUGUUUAAAUCAUGUUGUUGCCAAACUUAAUUCAUCAAACCUGAUGGUUCUUUUUAUGUUUGUUGUGUUUGAAAGAAACAUAUGAAUGUAUUGUUUCAAACAAAGAUAUAUAUAUAUGGAACACUACUUUGAUAUAUAAACUUGUAUUUGGAUGCAUUUUCUUAAUCAAAGUUGAGUUUAUAUUUAAUGUACUGAUAGUGUAUAAUUCAGUCAAAUAUCAAAUAAUGAUAGUGUCGUUUAAAAUGAAGUUAGUUGAAUUUUCUUUGAAGAAACUUUCGAAGAACACUAUUAACACAUCAAAGUAUAAACUUUUAAAAUAUUUCUAAGGUAAAGUUUGGAAUUUUGUUUUUUGAAAUGCGGAUUUGGGUUUCAAAUUUAGUGUAAAGCAAGUAAAAACGCACCUAGAAAUAUAACCUUAAUAAACUAUUAAAUACUUAUUUAGUAAUGGAUUUGAAAUUCAAGGAGGAAUUCAUGAACUUGAGAAUUCCUAUUUUUUUAUAAUUUUUAAAUACAUAGUUAUUUAUAAUAUAUGCAUUUCAUAACUUCAUGUUCCCAAAUGCUAAUUUCGUCAAAUACAUUUCAUUUGCUAACCUUAGCUCUAAUACAUAUUUUUAGGCAUUUUGAUAAUUAGAUUUUAGGGAUUAAUGGGUGUUUUACUUGGUUUAUGAAGAGUUUUUCAAGUAUUAGAUUUUUUUUUUAAAAAAAAGGCAUUCUACACUCAAAUAAUUGAAAUAAUUAAACAUUUUAACAAUUAAUUAAAUACAUUAUCAGUACAUUAAAUAUAUAUUAUUUGGAUUAAAUUUAUAUAUAUAAUGAGAUUUUAUUUUUAAUAUAUAUUUUCAUCUUCCCUUCAAUAAUUGAAACCCUAAACCCUAUUUUUUUAAAUAAUUAAAUGAUUAUCAAAUAGUUUCUCUACAUUAAGUUUUUACAACACUUUAAUCCAUCCAAAUUAUCGUUUACUCAUGCAAAAUGGUGUAGAACAUUGUUGAGUAACAAUGAAAACAAAGACAACAAGCAAAGGCCAAAGGACUAAAUUAAAACAGCAAGCAAAGCAAAGGGAUUGAUAAAUAAAGGUAAAUAUCAGUAAAUCUUCAAAAAAAUAAACCCUAAUUGUAGGUCUACUUUACUCUCAGUAUUAAACUACCGGUCCUUUUAAUUGGUAGCUGGUUUCAUUUUGUGCUACCUAAAUUUUCAUAGCUUCUACGUACCCGCUCUUCCAUGCAAAAAUAGAUUUUUAAAAUCGCCUAACGGUCAACGCUAUAUCUACAAAAAAUAAAUUUUUUUUAGAAAUAAUAACUAGUAAUUAAAUUAAAGCGUAAUUUGUCGAUUGAGUCUUAACUCGAUUGGUAUUAGUAUUAUUGCCAAUACAAGAGAACUUGGGUUCAAAUGUGCUGAAAUGCAUUAUUUUCUUAUUUAUAGGUUGGGUGAGGUUAUGAGUAGUUUUAAGUAUUGUGUCAAAAAGAAAAGAUAUAAUCAGAACAUAUAAUGAGAUUGUUCAAAAAAAUUAAAAUGCAAUUUUUUAGAUUAAUAAUAAUUUCGUAACAAGUCAAUUGGGCACCAACUCAAUUAAGGGAGUUUAUAAAAUCAACAAAUUUAUACUUUUCAAAUAUAUAAUUAUUCAUAAUGUCUACAUUUUAUUCCUACAAUUCAUAUAUCAGAAAAAAUUUAAAUCUAAAAUUUCAAAUUCAUGUUCCUGAACACAACAUGAGUUAAUUGAUCAAAACCAUUAAUUUCAUUUGUUAAUCUUAGCUAAUAUAUAUACACACAUUUGAAGAACAUCUGAAGGUAAUGGGAUUAAUGGUUGUUUUGAUUAGUUUAUGACGAGUUUUUCAAGUAUUAGAAGUAAUUGAUUUUAACACUAUAUUAUUAUUAUUUUUUUAAUUACAAGAGGAGAGUAAAACCCUAACAACAAAGCGACUAGCGCGACUCAAACCCAUAUUACACUUGGGAUAAUAAAUACCCCAACUUUCAGACCAACACGUGGAAUUCUAAAACUAUAUUAUUAAAUUUGUUAAAAUAUACAUAAUUCAUUUUUUGGAUUAAGUUCUUAUAUAUAGUUACAAGUCAAAACUUCUUAAAUGAAAGUACUAGAAUAAGCAUAUUUAAUGAAAUUUUGUUUUGUAAUAUAUAUUUUAACUUUCCCUUCAAUAAUUCAUAAAUAUAUAAAGAGGAGAAUUAUUGUUCUUUUCCCAUUUUUAUGUUAAAAUUAAUGAUAUGGUUUAAUAAAGUUGAGUCUUUAAAAAGAUUUAAAAAAAUAAUUAAAUUAGUAUCCUAUAGUUUAUCUAAGAUAAACCUUAAAUCCUAACCUAAACGGGCCGAUCAAAUCAGUUGGACCCACGACCAGUUGUCUGAUCAGUUUAAUCAUCGGUAUAAUUUUAAAAACCUUAAAAAUUAUAUAAUUACUCUAUUUUUCUAAGAGAAAUUGAAUAAAAAAAAUUUUCAAAGGACUAAAUUAAAAACAACAAGCAAAGCAAAAGGAUUAAUAACAGGGGUUGAUCUAAGGGGGGCUGGCAAGGGCCUCGGCCCCCCUAAAAUGAAAAAAAUUCCAUUUUAACUCUUUAUAGUUUAUAAAAUUUAAAUUAGUAAUGGUAAAAUUAUACUUUGCCCCCACAAAAAUGAUAAAAAUUUGAUUCAAUCCUCUAAAAAUUAUAAAAAUAUAGACUAUUAAAAUUGUGAAAUUAUAUUUUUACUAUCAUAAAAUAUAUAAUUUAAUUCUGCCCAAAAAAAUUUCUAAUUUCAUCCUUGACCCUUAAAUCAUAUUUCUAGAUCUGCCACGAGUUAAUAAAUAAAGGUAAAUAAUUUUUAAUUACUUCAAAAAGAAAAAAAGAACCCUUAAUUUUAGGUCUACUUUAGGCUCAAAAUUAAACUACCAGUCUUUUCAAUCGGUAGCUGGCUUCAUUUUGUGCUUACCUAAAUUUUUUGUAGUUUCUACGUACCACCUGUUCUUCCAUGCAAAACACAAUUUUCUAAACCGCCUAACGGUCAACCGUUUUAUCUACGUAAAAUAAAGUUUUUUAUUUUAGAAAUAUAUUAUUAGUAAUUAAAUUAAAGUAGAAUUUUUAGGUAAAUAAUAAUGUUACUUAUGUUAACAGGUUAGUUAAGUUGGAGAUCCCGAGUCAAGUUUGAGUUUUAUUAUGCUUAAUUGCAAUGUGUGGAUUCAGGAAUGAAUCUAAUUUUUUUUUUAAGAAGAGCCAAAAUUUAAUUAUAAACUUUUGAGAGGUCAAAAUAUAAUUUUAUCAUAUAUUAAUUUAUAAUUUUAUUAUUUUAGAGGUGAUUAAACAAGUAAUUUUCCAUUUGGGGAUCCUUUAAAUUUGCCACUGCGUGGAUCUCGAGUCCCAUCAUGUACAUAUAUCAUGUAUGGGUUUUUUUUUUCUUCUGGUUUUCUUCAUCUUUUGUGUUUUAUAUAUAUUUGUUUGAUUCUAUAUUAUAAUUAUUCAUAUAAAUAUUUAUAUUUAUAGUAUACUUGUAAAUGUACCGUAUUUGUAAUAGUAAAACUUAAAAAAUGUUAUUUAUUGAUAAUUCGAUGAAAUAGAAUUAUUUUAAUUUUUUUAUAGCCAAAUACAAGCUAAGUUGUAGAAAUUUUUAUUUUAAGUUUUAUUUAUCUAUUAUUUAUCUAAAUUGAUUGAUUUUUUUUAGAUUGAAUUAGGUAUUAUAGGUAAUUGUUCAUAAACAAUAUAAGAUGGAGACCUAUAAUAAAUUUGAUGAAAUAAUUUGUUGAUAGGAUAGGUAUAUAUACCUUUUAACCUUAUGAAAUCAUGAUUAAAGUCGAUUUUUAAUGUAUUGUUUUAAUGUUAAUUAGGACCAUAAAUGAACUGACGUAAACAAAUUUAUAUUUAUGUUUGGUUCAUAUUUAUUGAAAAUUUUAAAAUAAUAUUUGUGUUCGUUUAUUUAAACUUUUGUGUGUUUAUAUUAAUUCGUUUAAGUUAAAUGAAUUUAUUCCUAAAUAUUAAACAAACAUAUUCUUGAACAUAUAACUAAAUAUAUUCACAAAUAAUAUUCAUGAAUAAUAAGAUAUAAAUAAAAUUAUUAUUCACGAUUUUAUUUAUUUAAUAUAAACUAAUAAAAUCCCAACUAUUCAUUAGAAGCUUUGUCUAUUUACUGACCCAAUAUUAAAUUAUUAAUUAUAGCGAAUUGAGUUAGGAGGCAAUUUUAGGUUGACUAUUCAAUAUUUUCAUUAUGGCAUAGAGAAUUCUAAAUUCUUAAAUCUUCAUAGAAUAAAAAUAAAUAAAAUUUAUUUUUAAUAAAAAUAUAAUAUAAAACAAUUUUAUUGUCAGAAGGGUUCUUUUAUUAAUAAAAUAAAAAAGUUGAUAUUUAAAAACUAUUUAAAUAAUUUCUUUUCUUUGGACUUUAAUUUAUGAAUUUUUCAAUUUUCCAAAACAUUGAUAAAUAGAAUGAAGAUUUUUUUUAUUUUUUUUAAAUAUUUGUAUGUUAAAUUUUUUUAAAAAAUAAUUUUUAUUUUCUCAUAUCAAACACAUAAUAUUGUUUAAAUUUAAAUUAUUAAUUUAUUUCAAUUAAAGUAUUUUACUUGGUAUUUAUAUUACCAACUCUUAAGCCUUACACAUGGGAAACUUUCCACGCUAUGAGAGGGUUGGUCAACACACACAAAAAAGUAUUUACAUAACUAGGCCAGAAAUCAGAAUUUUUUUUUUGGCGGAAUUAAGUUGUAUAUUUUUAUAAAAGUAAAAAUAUAUUUUUAUUAUUUUAAUAGCUGUAUCUUUAUAAUGUUUAAAAGACUAAAUCAAUUUUUUUAUCAUUUUAGAGGGAGCAAAGUGUAGUUUUACCAUUACUAAUUUAAAAUUUUAUAAAUUAUAAAAAAAAAAUUCAUUUUAAAGGGGUCAGGCUAUCUGCAAAAGUUCAAAAUAUCUAAUAUUUGAAAAGGUUUUGACAAAAAUAUUAAGCCUAAAAAAAUAGACUUGAACAAAAAUUAAAUGUUUAAAGUAUGAGUCGAGCCCAAAUUCCAACAUUCAAGGCCAAAGCGUAACCUAUUUCAAUCUAUUUUACUUAUGUAAUAUAAUGUAUCUAACACUACCCAAACAUUAAAAAAAUAUGUUAUCUAUAUGUUUAAAUUUUUAAUUCAAGUUUAUAAAAAAAAUUUAAAAAUAACUCAAGCAUGCCUAAAAUGAGUUUGGGUUACUCAUUUACAAACAUGGAAGAACUUGAACCAAGUUCUAAGUCCAUAUUUCGGGUCGAGUCAAACUUGAACAAGUAUAAAGUAUUUUAAUAUCAGACAUAGGUCUAGCCCAAAUUUGAUUAGGCUCAACCAUAAACACCCUAUAAGUCACACGAAUAAACAUAUUUUUUGAAAUUAUAUUUAAAAUGACAUUCAUUAUAAUUAAAAUAAUUUAAUAAAUUCAAAUUUAAAUCAUUUUAACACUAGCAAUAAAAACUAUACGUGAAAGUAUAAAUUAAAACACACACAACUUCCUCAAAUGUUUAUAAAUUAAAAUUAUAAAUUCAUUUCUACUAUGUAAUGAGUAAAUAAUCAUCAAUUUCAUACUUUUAAUCUUAUUAUAUAAUGUAAAAAUAUAUAUAUAAUAAUUCUCCCACGAAGAAAAUCGAAAUUAUUGUAACAAUAAUAAUUACUUUUAAUUAAUAUCUGAAAUUAAUGUAUUUUUAUAAUUAUUUUGAUCUUUUUUUCAACAUUUUGAAGUUCUUUUACAUUUAUUUGUGCCAAGCAAAAACAAAGUCAAAAUUCACCAUUUUUCAACAAAAUCAUCAACCACAAUGUUAUGAAAGAACAAUAAGAGAUGAAAUAAAAUAUAUAUAUAUAAAUGAAAAAAGAAAAUAAAGAACAAUACUAACCUGGAAAAAAAAACCUUGUUUAGCGGUUUGAUCCGGCUCGUUUUUCAAAUUUAACCAUGUUCCAAUAUGAUUAUCGAAUAUCGAAAACGAUUUCCGAACUAAAUGCAUUCACAUGUAUUUUUGAAAAAUAAAAAAAAAUAAUUAUUAUGAACUUAAAAAUAUAAAGAAAAGAGAGAGAGAGAGUACAUAAGAAAGGAAGAAGAUUUUUUUGGGGGGUGUUUAAUGUAUGAGCAAAAUUAUAGUAAUGAUGAUAAUAGAAAGGGAUUUAAGGGUGCAAUAACCUGCAAGUUAAGGACACGUGUAGGUUACAUGUUGGAUGAUGGAAGAUUUUUAUAGGCUAAUGUGAGAAUAAAAUGGGGAUUGAAUGGUAGAUUUUGAGAUUGUUACCGGCUAUAGC